CGGAAUGAGUAGCGCGAAUGCAGUGAGAAUCUGCAUGGCCGAAAGCCUCAGGUUUUUGGAGGAAGGUUCGUCCGCUCCAAGUUAGUCGGGAGCUAAGGUGAGGCCGAAAGGCGUAGCCGAUGCACAGACGGUAGAGAUUCCGUCACCACCAAAAGAGUUAAGCACAGGGACACAUUUGAAGUCUCAGAGCCGGGUGUUGGUUCCGGUAGAGAUCGAGGGAAAUUAGUACCGAAGUCUGGGAUGGAAGAUGGCGAGAAAAGCUGUGUGUAUUUCUGAGGUGCCCGUACCGCAAACCGACACAGGUAGGUAGGAAGAAGAUUCUAAGGCCAACGGGAGAAGGGUUGUUAAGGAACUCGGCAAAUUGACCCCGUAACUUCGGGAGAAGGGGUGCUCCAGAGAUGGAGCCGCAGAGAAUCGGCCCAAGCAACUGUUUACCAAAAACACAGGUUUGUGCUAAAUCGAAAGAUGACGUAUACGAGCUGACGCCUGCCCGGUGCUGGAAGGUUAAGAGGAGAUGUGCAAGCAUUGAAUCGAAGCCCCAGUGAACGGCGGCCGUAACUAUAACGGUCCUAAGGUAGCGAAAUUCCUUGUCAGGUAAGUUCUGACCCGCAUGAAAGGCGUAAUGAUUUGGGCACUGUCUCAACAGCCCGCCCGGCGAAAUUGUAGUACCGGUGAAGAUGCCGGUUACCCGCGACAAGACGGAAAGACCCCAUGGAGCUUUACUGUAGCCUAAUAUUGGGUUUCGAUGUUGCAUGCACAGGAUAGAUGGGACACAGGGAAACAAUCGCUUUGGCGGUUGCGGAGUGGCCGUUGGGAUACCAUCCUUGCGAUAUUGGAAUUCUAACCUGCGGCUCUGAAUCGAGUCGGGGGACAUUGUUAGGUGGGCAGUUUGACUGGGGCGGUCGCCUCCUAAAAAGUAACGGAGGCGUUCAAAGGUUCGCUCAGCUUGAACGGAAAUCAAGCAAAAGAGUGCAAACGCAGAAGCGAGCCUAACUGCGAGACUGACGGGUCGAGCAGUAACGAAAGUUGGAGUUAGUGAUCCGGUGGUAUGUGAGUGG
This 1058-nucleotide ribosomal RNA is filed under the name human gut metagenome. RNAcentral describes it as "bacterial LSU rRNA". It matches the Rfam family "Bacterial large subunit ribosomal RNA", at positions 1298 to 2436 of the family's 2925-position model. The record is from RNAcentral.